AAGUUAUUGGAUCAUGAAAACGGACGUAACCGAAUUCCUUCAGUGUAAUUUUAUGAUCAGAGUGUGGCAUCAGCGACCUGUAUUUGCAAAUCUAGCACACGUGGGAUAUUGUACACAUGAGUAACACGAAUGUCAUUUCUAGACCGUUUGACUGAUAUCUUUAUGCUUAACAAAUUCUGUCCAUUUAGGCAUCCUUGUACACGACUCCUCUAUCCAGGAGUUAUAGUGUGGGAGUGGCGGUCAACACUUUGUCUCGAGCUGGUAGAAAAGUGCACUAAAAGAAAAACAAAGAACCGUACUAUCCACUAUCAUUUUUUGUUGUCCACAAGCGUCGGGUGAUAAAGAAAUGCAUUUUGAUGGCGAACAUUGAAUUCAGCACUUCCGCUCAUCAUAUAGAUAGUUAUCCUCGAAUUUAAAUUUGGCGCCGAAGAUGCUGAAUUCUACCCUUCCCUCUCCCCUCCGAUAACUGUUGAGGCUGUGCUAAGGAAAGGAUAAGUGUAUGCGCAAGUUUCUGUCAACUGAAUAUCAAUAACCAGGAAGAAUUAAUUAGGUGUCUAUAUUUCCCCAGAUAGGAUGGCGCAAUAAUGAGGAGCAACUUCUACCAACGCUGAAGCAUAUCUUUAUAUAUAAAGUUUCGUUUUGUUCUUAGUCCUUGGACAGCCCUUUCCUCUACAUAAGUUUGAAGUCCCAUAUUCAUGAGUAACUUUUCCGCUACAUAUAAGCACAGUUUUAUUGACAUACCUUGAACAACCGGCCAGCCUUAUCUGAUCACUUUACCUUGGACUGACCUUAAUGUCUUCACUUGAAAUCGAUAAAGUUUAAUCUACUUACCAACCACAAGCUACUGCGGAUCUAACUCCAAUAUAUCUUACUUUUUAGGCGUUGCGUAUGAAUAAAAACAUUAAUUUGAUUGAAAACGAUGAUUUAAAUACCUAUAUGUGCCCACUUUGGCCUUUUUGUACUAACAGGCACAGUGAUGCGGCCUGCAGCCUGUCAGGGUCGAACCAUGGGUUUGGUAUGAAUAUUAUAAGUCUCUGGUUAUUGCUUAGAACGUUUUCACCUAAAAUGGAUAAACAAAGCCGAAAGAGGAGUGGAGUUUGAUCUGUACUGAGGUUCUGUUGAAAUCACUCAAGUAUAUCAGCGUUUGAUGAUGUCAGCUUUAGAAUUAUAAAAACGGCAUCGUAAAGGAAAAAAUGUUCAAGGCUGCGACGUCAUUUGGUUUCGAAAUAGAGACGAACUCCUAUCUCAUCUACCAGUAAGAACGCCUUAUCGUAGUUUUGCUCUUCACACAAACUGUUGGCUGUAGCAUAAUCGUAUAGCAAUAAUGUACGUUAAAAACGGAAUACUGUUGACGCGGUGUUUGUCGAAUACGUAUAUAAUAUUUGAUAAUCAUAAUAAUAAUAAUAGUAAUAUUAAUAUAUUUAGCCAAGUAAAUAUCAAAUCAAACCCUAAAUAUAGUAGUGCCAACCAAAUGAAAUGGGUAAUUUUAAACUUGAGAUUUAUUCGCGUAAGUGUCACAUAUAUAGAGACGUAUACUGCCGCGAAUUGGCACUUUUCCCUACUUUUAGCCCUUCGAAAUGAAACCUUUUCAUAGACGGGGCAUAGUCAUUGAGUCAGCAGAAACGCUUCACUCGCAUCAUUGUUUCAUCAAAGACAACAGAACCGCAUUAUUGUAGAGUUUAUCCUUGUGCUAUAGAUUAUGCACGGAGAUACGCGAUUUCGGUAGAGCUUGCUUUCGUCUGAGCAUUUCUACAUACUAGUUGCGAUUCUGUCUCGAGCAUGAAUCGAUGGCAAACAGGUUCCAUCUUCCCCCUAAAACAUAAUGGUAACUUGUAGUGCAAAAUGUUACUGUUGAUGUGAACGACCACAAAAGAUUUCGUGCAUUCGAUCCUCUUUUCAAUAGUCCGGCACAAAGCGAACCGCAGAAAGCGUUAAACGCCAAGCUGAAAACCGCCCACCACCGUUCGUAUUUUUUGGCCGAUUUUCUGUGCCUUCUUUCAUUAGGCCGUACGAUGUGCACUUGUUUUUUGCCAAUAAAAUACGAUUUGUGCUUCCCUCUGCUGCUAUAGGGCGACUCUGAGCCCAUGAAAGUAACUAGUAUUUAAAAAAAGGUUUAUAAAUUGGAUAAAUGAAGAGACGCGAACUUCUCUAGGACGCUAAUGAUCAUAAACGCAGUCGUGAGAUUUUUUAUAUUUAUUCACUGUAAGCACUGAGCUUAAAACAGCUGUUCGUGGAUAUUAACUAAAUAAUAGAAUAAUAUAAAAACGACACGGUUUCGGUAGACGGUUUCUGGGGGAAAAAUGCAUAUUGUGGGAAUACACAUCUGUGCGAGUUAUGUAUGUGGGCUAUGCCACAGGCCUUCAUCGUGGUGCGGCUAUGUACAGAUUAUAUUAAUGCGUCACUGCUCGCAAAGGCACGGGGCCAAGGCACGUAGACGUAAGGUGGCAUCCCCCUUGAAAAAGCCAUUGGAUCAUUUGGGAGUUCAGUCAUGGGGCAAAUACUCCGAGCUAUCAUGCAUAUUAUCUAAGUAACGGAACAGACGUUGCUUGCGAGUGACUGUAGACGUCUAGCGUCAACAUCGUUGUGAAGUUCUAGUAAAUCUCUCUUUACUGGAAACGUGGAUUGAGAAAGCAUACACGAUGUGUGCGCGCACAGUCGCCAAGCGCGUAAUACAAACUAAGGUUGAUGAUAAUUGUGAUACUUCUAAUACAAGUCAGUUUAACAUAUCGCGUGCUCAAGUACUGCUAGCACUAUUAUGAUCAAUUCAUAGCAAUUUACAUCGUUCAUUUUCUAUAUGGUGUUGUAAAUAAGUACAACGAAAAAAAAAGACAGGUUUCACCAGCCAUUUAUGCUCAAUCCAACCAAAUAUUCUAAAGGACAAAGGAGAAAUAUAACGAACGUUUAUAACUUGAAGAAAUAACUACAGGAAGUGACCGCAUUGAAGGUAUCGGCCGAAUCUGAUCCAGGCACCUUAAGUUACUUCCGAGCGACUUUUGCGUGGACACCCGCCGUGUCACAGAAGCCUGGACGGCUACCUGUUCUACCAAAACAGAAGUUACGCUUCAACAAUAACAACUAUAGCUAGAAGCGAAUAGAAAUUACACCAGAAACGACCUCAAAUAGUAACAAUAAUAAAUAACAACAGUAAUAAUAAUAAAAAUAUAGCUGUAUACGUUUUCUACUGUAGUGACUACAGACGGUGCCGGUGUUAUCUCCGCUAAAUGCUGGUCGACGAUGCUACUCGUUACGUUUAUACAUAAAAUGAUUAAUAACAGUUAGUAGGAAUAGCUCCAGUU
Long non-coding RNA from Varroa destructor (honeybee mite), 3296 nucleotides. The record is from RefSeq and is a predicted model, not a curated record. NCBI's taxonomy places the organism in Eukaryota, Metazoa, Arthropoda, Arachnida, Mesostigmata, Varroidae.